Molecule: ribosomal RNA, 578 nt
Filed under: Arsenophonus endosymbiont of Tapinoma sessile
Lineage: Bacteria; Pseudomonadati; Pseudomonadota; Gammaproteobacteria; Enterobacterales; Morganellaceae
Description: bacterial SSU rRNA
Rfam family: Bacterial small subunit ribosomal RNA
Source: RNAcentral
ACUUUCAGUCGUGAGGAAGGUGUCAAGAUUAACAGCCCUGGCAAUUGACGUUAGCGACAGAAGAAGCACCGGCUAACUCCGUGCCAGCAGCCGCGGUAAUACGGAGGGUGCGAGCGUUAAUCGGAAUUACUGGGCGUAAAGGGCACGCAGGCGGUUAAUUAAGUUGGAUGUGAAAUCCCCGGGCUUAACCUGGGAAUGGCAUUCAAGACUGGUUAGCUAGAGUCUUGUAGAGGGGGGUAGAAUUCCAUGUGUAGCGGUGAAAUGCGUAGAGAUGUGGAGGAAUACCGGUGGCGAAGGCGGCCCCCUGGACAAAGACUGACGCUCAUGUGCGAAAGCGUGGGGAGCAAACAGGAUUAGAUACCCUGGUAGUCCACGCUGUAAACGAUGUCGAUUUGGAGGUUGUGGUCAAGAACUGUGGCCUCCGGAGCUAACGCGUUAAAUCGACCGCCUGGGGAGUACGGCCGCAAGGUUAAAACUCAAAUGAAUUGACGGGGGCCCGCACAAGCGGUGGAGCAUGUGGUUUAAUUCGAUGCAACGCGAAGAACCUUACCUACUCUUGACAUCCAGCGAAUCCUUUA